Papaver somniferum (opium poppy) is the source of this 2111-nucleotide long non-coding RNA. RefSeq lists it as uncharacterized. The transcript has 5 exons. The record is from RefSeq and is a predicted model, not a curated record. NCBI's taxonomy places the organism in Eukaryota, Viridiplantae, Streptophyta, Magnoliopsida, Ranunculales, Papaveraceae.
AUUUUCUUCUCCCUUUUUUACGAAGUUCAGAACUUUUGUUAUCUUUCUUCUCUGUCUUUUGUUGUUCCUUCUUAACUCCUUGUCUGCUUCAAGUCGUGCUGAGAAGAGACCUGCGAGAACUCCGAGUACCAGCCGUUCUUCCGGCAUAUAUGAUGCUGCGUAUUUAGAGAUGGUGAAGGCUAAGCAUCGUCCCCAGAGAUUUCAAGUCACUUUUGCCAGUCCGGAGGGUCAAGCCGGUGUUUUGACCAAGGAUAUUUCUGAGACUAACCCUUGUGGUCCCAACGAGAUAAUCGUGACAGUGGGACAUCUAGAUGCCGGGCUUCGUCUUCCUUUUUACUGUCCAUUGGAUUAUUUCCAGUACGAGGUACUCUGCCUGCUCGAUCCUCAGCGAGCCAUCUUACAGCCAAAUGAUAACUUUUAUCGGAUCGUCCGAGAAAGUGCUUGGCGAUAUAAAGGUAGGGUUACUAAUCAUGAAUUGAACAAGUUUGUUCCUUCUCAGAGGGAUUUUUAUUCUCCCACGAACUUCGUGGAGAAAUACUAGUGUCAGCAGUACGAUAAGUUUAAUGGCUUCGGGGUGGGCAUCUCCAGGUCUCGCCGAACUCUGAAAGGUUCCCUGUUUAUAUCCGAUUUAUAUCCUCCUAAUCCAACUAAUUUCACCCUUCGUAAGACACGCGACCCAAAGUGGUUCUUAGUUCCUCUUUGUAUUCUGGUUCCUUAUAUUUAUGGCUGGGAGGAGCUUGGAAACGUUCUUCUGGAGCUUCCCGAGAUGCAUAACAAUUUGCCGCCUUAUAGUUCAUGGGAGCUUAGGUGGGUCAUUCCUCUUAGGCGUCCAUCGCAAACCACCAGAGCUAUUGAGGAUGCUAAGAGGAUGAGGGUUGUUAAUGGUUCUGGCCCAUCUACUUUUCCUGUGGAGAUUGCAGAACAUGCUUCGGAUGUUGAUAUUGGUGCUCUUUUUGGUGAGAAUGAGAUGAUGGACCUUGGUAAAGGAUUUUUUGAUGAUCUUGAUCAAGCAUUGUUGCAUGAAUCCGUCAAUCUCGAUGGCACUGCUACCAUAUCGGAGGUGGGGAUGCCCCAGGAGAGUAAUCUCGCUGAUAAGGGUGUUCCCUCCCAUGGAGGUGCUUGGAUUGGAGUUAGUGGUGGUGGUGUUGUUAUACUGGUGUGUCAAGUGGUGUUAGUGUUGGUACUGGCGUACCAAGUGCUUUUAAUAGUGGUUUUCCUUCUGCUCCAGCAGUUCCUUCUAGUUCUUCUCGCACCGUUUUUGGUGGAGGAUCCGACGCGAUGGCAAUGUUAUGCUCGGCUGAGCGAGACGAGCAAGCUCGUAUCUUAACUUCCUUGAAUAAGUCCGCUCAUCAUCAGCUUGUGUAGGCGAGAGUAACAAACUGAGGGUUGGCGUGUUGUCCGAGACUCGUGUUGCUAGGAGGCGAGCCAGGGAUGUGGAGCGCGAGAACUAGCAUAUGCGUCUCGCUGUGGAGAUGGCUAAGAAGGAGGACUUGUCCUUUCGCCAUGAUAAGAAGGAAUUGGAAGAGACUCGUAAGAGCAACGCAAUAAUGGAGAGGCAGUUGGAGGAUGUGAAGGGAAAAAAGCAAAAUAUUGAUGAAGAGCUUAAUGAUUUGGUGACCCUCCAUGAGGAGGAAUUGGAGGCCGACCGAGCGACAAGAAGAAGAUGAUGAUCAAUCUUCAUGCUUAGUACAAGGUCAAGAUGACAAAUGCAUGUAAAGCCACCAUCUUGCGAGCGCCAAAGAGCCGCUGCUGCCAAUGUUGUAGUUCCUACUGAACCUGUGGAGUCCGAAUCCGAGCAAGUUGCUCCUGAUGUUGCCGAGGGAAAGGAUCAGAUGGAGACUGGGCAGGGUGCUCCUGGUGAGGAACAAUCGUGAUGCUCCUUUGUUUUGUUUUGGUGUUAAUUACUCUUUGGUCAUUUUUGUUACUAUGCCCUCGUGUUGUCGAGGAGAUGUAAAGUUGUUGGUAGUUUGUCCUCGUGCUCCUUCAGAGGAAAUAUUUAAAGGUGGUUCUCUUGACAGUGUUACUUGUCAAGUCCUCUACUUUUUGGAGGCGUUAUUUUACUAAUCAUUUUUUGUCAAGUCCUCAUAUUGGGAGGCAAUGGCGUUAUUUUA